This 492-nucleotide ribosomal RNA is filed under the name uncultured bacterium. RNAcentral describes it as "partial 16S ribosomal RNA". It matches the Rfam family "Bacterial small subunit ribosomal RNA", at positions 29 to 507 of the family's 1533-position model. The record is from RNAcentral.
AGUGAACGCUGGCGGUAGGCCUAACACAUGCAAGUCGAACGGCAGCACAGUAAGAGCUUGCUCUUACGGGUGGCGAGUGGCGGACGGGUGAGGAAUACAUCGGAAUCUACUUUUUCGUGGGGGAUAACGUAGGGAAACUUACGCUAAUACCGCAUACGACCUACGGGUGAAAGCAGGGGAUCUUCGGACCUUGCGCGAUUGAAUGAGCCGAUGUCGGAUUAGCUAGUUGGCGGGGUAAAGGCCCACCAAGGCGACGAUCCGUAGCUGGUCUGAGAGGAUGAUCAGCCACACUGGAACUGAGACACGGUCCAGACUCCUACGGGAGGCAGCAGUGGGGAAUAUUGGACAAUGGGCGCUAGCCUGAUCCAGCCAUACCGUGUGGGUGAAGAAGGCCUUCGGGUUGUAAAGCCCUUUUGUUGGGAAAGAAAAGCAGCAGGUUAAUACCCCGCUGUUCUGACGGUACCCAAAGAAUAAGCACCGGCUAACUUCGUG